This 484-nucleotide ribosomal RNA is filed under the name uncultured bacterium. RNAcentral's name for it is "partial 16S ribosomal RNA". It matches the Rfam family "Bacterial small subunit ribosomal RNA", at positions 30 to 507 of the family's 1533-position model. The record is from RNAcentral.
AUUGAACGCUGGCGGCAGGCUUAACACAUGCAAGUCGAACGGAAGAAGCUAGCUGGCUGCUGGAUUCAGGGGCAGACGGGUGAGUAAUGCGUAAGAACCGGCCUGGUCGUGGGGGAAAACGCCCGGAAACGGGCCCAAUUACCGAUAACCUUCCUAGGGGCAAAGUGGGGGUUCUUAGGAUCUCACGCUAUCGGAUGAACCCAGGGCGGAUUAGCUAGUUGGUGGGGUAGAGGCCUACCAAGGCGACGAUGCGUAACUGGUCUGAGAGGAUGAUCAGGCACACUGGAACUGAGCCACGGCACAGGCUCUGACGGGCGGCACCGGUUGCGACUAUUGGACGCUGGGCGAAAGCCUGAUCCAGGCGUGCCGGGCGGGUGCAGCAGGUCUUCGGAUUGUAAAGCGCCUUAAGUGGGGAGGAAGGGCAGUAAGUUAAUACCAUGCUGUUUUGACGUUACCAACAGAAUAAGCACCGGCUAACUUCGUG